Molecule: ribosomal RNA, 253 nt
Filed under: uncultured bacterium
Lineage: Bacteria
Description: partial 16S ribosomal RNA
Rfam family: Bacterial small subunit ribosomal RNA
Source: RNAcentral
UACGUAGGGUGCUAGCGUUGUUCGGAAUCAUUGGGCGUAAAGCGCGUGUAGGCUGUCAGUUAAGUCUUGUGUGAAAUCCCUCGGCUCAACCGAGGAAGUGCAUGGGAAACUAACUGGCUUGGAGACGGUAGAGGAAGGUGGAAUUCCAAGUGUAGAGGUGAAAUUCGUAGAUAUUUGGAGGAAUACCGGUGGCGAAGGCGGCCUUCUGGACCGAUCUUGACGCUGAGACGCGAAAGCGUGGGUAGCAAACAGG